RNAcentral lists this ribosomal RNA (457 nucleotides) under uncultured organism. RNAcentral's name for it is "partial 16S ribosomal RNA". It matches the Rfam family "Bacterial small subunit ribosomal RNA", at positions 333 to 798 of the family's 1533-position model. The record is from RNAcentral.
ACACUCCUGCGGGAGGCAGCAGUGGGGAAUAUUGCACAAUGGGCGCAAGCCUGAUGCAGCGACGCCGCGUGGGGGAUGAAGGCCUUCGGGUUGUAAACUCCUUUCGCUAGGGACGAAGCUUUUUUGUGACGGUACCUAGAUAAGAAGCACCGGCUAACUACGUGCCAGCAGCCGCGGUAAUACGUAGGGUGCGAGCGUUGUCCGGAAUUACUGGGCGUAAAGGGCUCGUAGGUGGUUUGUCGCGUCGUCUGUGAAAUUCUGGGGCUUAACUCCGGGCCUGCAGGCGAUACGGGCAUAACUUGAGUGCUGUAGGGGUAACUGGAAUUCCUGGUGUAUCGGUGAAAUGCGCAGAUAUCAGGAGGAACACCGAUGGCGAAGGCAGGUUACUGGGCAGUUACUGACGCUGAGGAGCGAAAGCAUGGGUAGCGAACAGGAUUAGAAACCCUUGUAGUCCCAU